GACGAACGCUGGCGGCAUGCCUAAUACAUGCAAGUCGAGCGAACAGAUGAAGUGCUUGCACUUCUGACGUUAGCGGCGAACGGGUGAGUAACACGUAAGGAAUCUACCUAUAAGCGGGGGAUAACAUUCGGAAACGGGUGCUAAUACCGCAUAAUAUCUUCUUCCGCAUGGAAGAAGAUUGAAAGACGGCUCUGCUGUCACUUAUAGAUGACCUUGCGGUGCAUUAGUUAGUUGGUGGGGUAAUGGCCUACCAAGACGAUGAUGCAUAGCCGACCUGAGAGGGUGCGCGGCCACACUGGGACUGAGACACGGCCCAAACUCCUACGGGAGGCAGCAGUAGGGAAUCUUCCGCAAUGGGCGAAAGCCUGACGGAGCAAUGCCGCGUGAGUGAAGAAGGCCUUCGGGUCGUAAAACUCUGUUAUAAGAGAAGAACAAAUUGUAGAGUAACUGCUACAGUCUUGACGGUAUCUUAUCAGAAAGCCACGGCUAACUACGUGCCAGCCGCCGCCGUAA
Molecule: ribosomal RNA, 513 nt
Filed under: uncultured bacterium
Lineage: Bacteria
Description: partial 16S ribosomal RNA
Rfam family: Bacterial small subunit ribosomal RNA
Source: RNAcentral